Molecule: unclassified non-coding RNA, 372 nt
Filed under: uncultured Pezizomycetes
Lineage: Eukaryota; Fungi; Ascomycota; Pezizomycetes
Description: sequence contains ITS1
Rfam family: 5.8S ribosomal RNA (bases 1-105)
Source: RNAcentral
GAAAUGCGAUAAGUCAUGUGAAUUGCAGAAUUCAGUGAAUCAUCGAAACUUUGAACGCACAUUGCGCCUUCAUGUAUUCCGGGAGGCAUGCCUGUACGAACGUCGUCGAGCGCCUCGCCUGGAGCUGUUGCUUGCAACAGAGCCCCGGCGGCUCCUGGAGGAUGCGCGCUGAAGGGCCCGCACCCCCGAAAUCCAAUGGCGGUCCCAUCCUUGGCUGUGAUUGUGAUAAGUAUUUCUUACAGUCGCUUAGCCCCGGAGGCGUCCUGCUGCCUAUGUUCUUGCUAGCGCUCAGCCAAUCCACAGGCUGCAUGCGAUGGUAGACACAAUCUUACUUUUGACUUCGGAUCAGGUAGGGAUACCCGCUCAACUUAA